Molecule: non-coding RNA, 281 nt
Organism: Paramuricea clavata
Lineage: Eukaryota; Metazoa; Cnidaria; Anthozoa; Malacalcyonacea; Plexauridae
Source: the annotation of a GenBank genome assembly
GUAAGGUAAGGUUUAUACCCCUGCCCCUAUGUGUAACAUAAGCCAAGGCAUUCACCUCUAUAUCAGUGUAAGAUAAGGUUUAUACCCCUACCCCUAUGUGUAACAUAAGGCAUCCACCCCUACAGUGUAAGAUAAGGUUUAUACCCCUACCCCUAUGUGUAACAUAAGGCAUCCACCCCUACAGUGUAAGAUAAGGUUUAUACCCCUGCCCCUAUGUGUAACAUAAGGCAUCCACCCCUAUACCAGUGUAAGAUAAGGUUUAUACCCCUGUCCCUAUGUGU